UUUCCGUAGGUGAACCUGCGGAAGGAUCAUUAUUGUAUAACCGAGGUGCGAGGGCUGUCGCUGACCCGAAAGGUCGUGCACGCCCGAGUGCCCUCACACGCAUCCAUCUCACCCCUAUGUGCACCACCGCGUGGGUCCCCCUUUGGCUUGUUCGGAGGGGGGCUUACGUUUUCACACAAACUUUGUAUGCAGUGUAGAAUGAAUUUUUUGUUUUUGCGAUCACGCAAUCAAUACAACUUUCAACAACGGAUCUCUUGGCUCUC
Molecule: unclassified non-coding RNA, 263 nt
Filed under: plant metagenome
Description: partial contains small subunit ribosomal RNA, internal transcribed spacer 1, and 5.8S ribosomal RNA
Source: RNAcentral